AGAGACAGCAGCCGCCGCGGUAACACGGAGGGAGCUAGCGUUGUUCGGAAUUACUGGGCGUAAAGCGCACGUAGGCGGCUUUGUAAGUUAGAGGUGUAAGCCUGGAGCUCAACUCCAGAACUGCCUUUAAGACUGCAUCGCUUGAAUCCAGGAGAGGUGAGUGGAGUUCCGAGUGUAGAGGUGAAAUUCGUAGAUAUUCGGAAGAACACCAGUGGCGAAGGCGGCUCACUGGACUGGUAUUGACGCUGAGGUGCGAAAGCGUGGGGAGCAAACAGGAUUAGAUACCCCCGUAGUCCCUGUCUCUUAUAC
This 309-nucleotide ribosomal RNA is filed under the name uncultured bacterium. RNAcentral describes it as "partial 16S ribosomal RNA". It matches the Rfam family "Bacterial small subunit ribosomal RNA", at positions 504 to 807 of the family's 1533-position model. The record is from RNAcentral.